Acinonyx jubatus (cheetah) is the source of this 9465-nucleotide long non-coding RNA. RefSeq lists it as uncharacterized. The transcript is spliced from 8 exons. The record is from RefSeq and is a predicted model, not a curated record. Lineage: Eukaryota; Metazoa; Chordata; Mammalia; Carnivora; Felidae.
AUUUUAUUUAUAUUUUAUUUUUAACGUACACUUAAAUAGCCACAUGUAGCUAGUGGCUACCAUACUGGACAGCACAGGCAGAUCUUAAACUUUUAUGAGAAUUUGACAGUUAUAGACUCCAUCUUAGAAAAAUAUCCACACACUCUAUCAUAGGUGGGCCCCUCCAGUCCCAUUUGUGUAUCCCAGGCAAGCAGAGCCAACUGCCUGGGGCUCAGGUUCCUCAUCUACUCUGCCCCUCUUUCUGCCUUUGCCUGGAAGUAGAAUGACUGGGAUGACUCCAGGAACAAGCAGACCACAGUUUUAUACCAAGAUUUCUGUCCCCAGCCUGAUGCACUCCCCACACAUCUUUUUUUUUUUUAAUUUAAUUUUUUAUUUUUUAAAAUUUACAUCCAAAUUAGUUAGCAUAUAGAGCAACAAUGAUUUCAGGAGUAGAUUCCUUAGUGCCCCUUACCCAUUUAGCCCAUCCCCCCUCCCACAACCCCUCCAGUAACCCUCAGUUUGUUCUCCAUAUUUAUGAGUCUUUUCUGUUUUGUCCCCCUCCCUAUUUUUAUAUUAUUUUUGUUUCCCUUCCCUUAGGUUCAUCUGUUUUGUCUCUUAAAGUCCUCAUAUGAGUGAAGUCAUAUGAUUUUUGUCUUUCUCUGACUGACUAAUUUCACUUAGCAUAAUACCCUCCAGUUCUAUCCAUGUAGUUGCAAAAGGCAAGAUUUCAGUCUUUUUGAUUGCCGAGUCAUACUCCAUUGUGUAUAUAUACCACAUCUUCUUUAUCCAUUCAUCCAUCGAUGGACAUUUGGGCUCUUUCCAUACUUUGGCUAUUGUUGAUAGUGCUGCUAUAAACACGGGGGUGCAUGUGUCCCUUUGAAACAGCACACCUGUAUCCCUUGGAUAAAUACCUAGUAGAGCAACUGCUGGGUUGUAGGGUAGUUCUAUUUUUAGUAUUUUGAGGAACUUCCUUACUGUUUUCCUGAGUGGCUGCACCAGCUUGCAUUCCCAUCCCCACACAUCUAAAGAAAGGCAAGGUGGUGGAUGAAGGCUAGGGUACAGGGGUGACAUGAGGGACAUUCAGUCUUUUUUCUCAGUCUUGACCUGACUUCCUCCUGUCCUGCUUCCCAGCAAGCCACCCGAAUGCCACUGGGCUGGUUCCUCUUGGGACACAGAGCUCCAAUGGAAUGUGAGGCUGUACUCUGGAGAUGGGAUUGUGUCAUGGGCCUGCAGUGUUUAUAAAUUGGAGGAUUUGAAGUAGUCAGAGGGUGAAGACCUAGGCCAAGAGGGGGUGCCCCUUGGCCCCAGUCUAGCCCCUCUUGGUCUCCUUGCACUAGAAAAGGGAGUGAUUAUUGUGUGCUGUUCUGGACCUUCUACCUGAACUUCUACCUUCUACCUGUUUCUGCCUCCUCCUGGCCCCAGCACGAGCACUCACUCCUGAUUUUUUACUGUUUUUCCAGAUCAGCUGAGAGUCAGACACUGCCCCCAUUCAGGAAUAUGGAGGUCUGAGGGGGCUCAGAGAAACUCACUCCCAGCCCUGCAUGGAUGCGUGUGUCCACUCAGUGCAGGGAGGGAAUAUUGUUCUCCCUUGUCCCUUGUCCUGCUGGAUCCAGCCACUCCUCCUCAGAAAACUCCCUACAUAGAUCCAUUUACAGGGGACCACCUUCACUAGGACUUGACUUUCUACCCUCUGCCCUCCUCUCCCUCCUUGCUGCUCUUGCCCACCCUCUCCUCCCUUAUCUCUCAGAUGUCCACCCCUUUGCCCCCCAUCUGGAAAAAAAUAGUUGGUCAGUUCCUGCCCCCCAUAGAGUCUCUAUUUCUUUGGUUUCAGCAGCUGUGCUGGACUGGUCAGACUCAGGCUCUGGGACUGACCCUGGUGUGGGACACAUAGAGGGAGACAAAUCUCCGAACCCCCUUGUCUUAGGCCCUCUAGAAGCAGAGCUUGUGGCCAGGAUUCAGGUGAAAGCCCAGGGGGCUAAGGAUGAGGAAGAGGGAAAUAUGUGCACAGAAGACACAAAGCAAGGUGGUGCAAUGCCUUACUGUCUUGACUUGCUUCACAUGGGCCACAGAAAGACACUGCAGUUUGCUUGGCCAGAGUGUGUGCACUCAGCAUGCGGUGGGACUCCUCUAGAAGGCUGUAAGGAGGAAGCACACCUUGCAGUAGCCCAUAGCUUCUACCCACAACCUAUCCCCAUGGGGCAAGGUUCACAGCAAGCUUCUGGGUUCUGUCAACCAACCCUUGGUGGCAUUCAGAAACCACUAUGAAGUAUGGCCUUUCGUCUAAGCCUGAAGGUGGGGGGCAAUGUCAGAGAGAGUAGGGAGGUAGUCAAGUCAUUCGAGAAGAAAGGUUUCCAUCUCAAUAUGGUCCAGCCCUCGUGCCACUGAGAUCCAUUCACGCCCUUGCAUUAUAUCUGACUUCCCUACUACAACAUGGGGCCUCCGGUUUUGUCCAAGAGAACAAAGCUGUCAUUACUUUUUCUGCAGAAACGGAGGUACAGUCCACUGUAAACAAAACCCCUUCAAGGUAAUGCUAGCUGUGAUCCCAAGGAAGAUAAGGACAGGAGGGUUAAUGAAGCAAGCCUUAGUCCCCACUACUGUAGCUGGUCCUGAUUCCGUAACUGAUCUUGUCUCCCUCCUUCUCUUAUCCUCAGUUAACCCUCUGCAGAUCUAAACUACUUGCCAGAUGAGAUUUUAUGGGCUUUCGUCCCUGGGAGCACUGAUCCCUUGGUUGCCUUCCCUUUGGGGAUUGUCACUGUUGAAGUUGUCCAUCGUCAAUUACAACUGGGUGGGAGUUUCUAAGAGAUGUCCAGUGAAACUCCUGGCAGGGUUCAGACACAGCCUUCCCUGCCCUUAUUGCAUCGAUAUGUAUUCUAUCUACUGCUCUUAUUCCUCCUGGCAAUCAGGAUCAAUGGCUUGACCAAUCCAGCAAUGAAUGUCCUUUUUUGCUAUUGGUCCCCUGGCAUGAAGAGCAGUCACAGCUUCCAGUUUAGUACGAAUGUUACUCUGUUCCCUGGUACAUACAGUUGCCACUGCAUGGGAACUAGGACCCUUAACAAGCAGAGCCUAAAGUUUUGGGAACAAGAAGCAAAAACUGUGCAGAUCUGAGAGUGAGAUGGGCCACUUGCACUUCCACAUUGAUUAUGGGACCUGUAAUUUCCAGGUAUAGGGGACAAAGUGCUAUCAAACAAAUACCAUGUCCAGAAGUUCUGGGCCCAAACUCACACGUGUCAUGUUUCUGCCAGCAAUUUCUGAGCAUUGCACAGGCUGCUCCACUGUUCUGCUAGGCCCACUGCUUCUGGGUGAUGAGGUACAACUUAGUAAGACCAAUGUAUCUGUUGAAUUUACCACGAUUUCAUUACCUCAUAGCAUAUGCAAAAAUUAAUGCAAAAUGGAUCAAAAUCUAAAUGUAAGAGCUGAUGAUGUUUAAGUCUUAGGUGACCUCAUUAUUGUACCUUCCUUGUAGAAGCACUGUGGACAAGGAAGACAAACUCAAACCCCAAGCACACACUCGUUCUAGUAAGGACAAAUAACUGUCCCCUCCAGGGUGGAAGGAAGGGAUUCAGUGCAAGCCAUGUGCCACCAGGGACUAGGCUGGUCUGCUGAGGAAGAGAACCACACCAGGUGUCCAGCAUGGGGCUUGUAGGCAGGUUGAGCCCUCAGAGUGGUAGGAUGAGCUCAGCCUUAGUGAGGGGAGCCCAUGCUGUUGGGCCCAUACAUGACCCCCAUUCCUGGCACCAUGACCAUUCUAAUCAAAAGCUAUUGUGCAGACAUUUGAGGUGGACAGGAAAAGAUUCACUCACCUCAUGAAUCAUUGUGUCUGCUGUGUUGACAGCAACCUGGCAUUUCUGUCUCCUUUCCUAUCUCAUUCCUAUUCUCCUGCUCUGCAGGGUGUUUGAGACCCAGAAGUUUGCACGCUUGGUGCCCACUUCCAAAAGUCUGUCCAUCUGUCUUUCCAUAGCCCUCUUUCUCAGUGAUCUUGGUUUUGUUCUUUCUAGGCUCCUGACCAAUGAGCCAAGUGAUUCACAACUUCCCAGGAGUCAGGGAAUAUCCACAUCUCAGACCACGUCUUCUUCUACAUGAAGCUGACAACCAAAUGUACUGCUCAGAGUUUUUUGCGCACUGGAUAGUACUUCCCCUGACCACUGUCUUUUGGUGUCACCCCUCAGAGGGCCAUAAUAUGACAUCAGUCCACCUCAGACUCUCACCACCAUAUCACACUGACCAUCUGUGGGUCCCUUCCUUGUCAUUGGGUGAUCACAGGAACUCUGAGAAGCCACACAAGCUUUAUGGCCCAAUAUCCCCCUCCACCCCUAUCUGCCUGUGACUUCCUCUCUAUUCCUGACUAUUGGGAAGUGGUCCCUCACCCCUCUGGCCUCCAAUUUCACUUCACACCCUUGUUGAACCAGGCCAGCAGGGAGAUGGGGUGCUACUUCCUCCUGGGCCUUGGGGGUAGGGUGCUGCCUUCCCAAUACCUUAGCAUCCUCACAGCAGUAACAAUAUGGUAACAACAUCAACAAUAGCUCCUGCGCAUGAGGUGCUCCUCGUGUGCCCCACAAUGUGCUAAUAGUCAGGGCCAAGACUAGAGCAAAAAGAACAAGGAGCUUAGGACACAAAUUUUAAGAAGAUCUCAGUGUCAUACAAGUCCCAAAUCCUUUAAAUUUUGGGUUCCAGGCACUUGAUUUUGUCUAGUCUUGACCCUACUAAUAAACUCGUGGCAUAGAUUGUCUUCUUUCAUUCUCAUAAGUAAAUACUAUUGCCCCCAUUUUACAGAUGAGGUAACUGACUAGGAGGUUCAUUUGACAAAGUCACUCUGUUGGCAACUGGCACAGCCAUGUUUUUCUGACUUUAAGGCCUAAGCUCUUAGCCUCUCAGCUGUAUUAGCCCAUCUUAACCUGGCCUGAGCCCUGCGGGAAGCUCCCUGAGGGUGAUCCUCCAGAAGAAUCGAAAUCCCACUCAGACGUGGGCCACGGGACCAGGUUGCACUGAUGCAGGAAGGCUGCAUCCGAGGACCUAGGGGAGAGUCCAACAGGAUCAGUCAAGAAGAUCUUUGGCUUCACGCAGGAUAGAAGUCAAACAUGAGCCAGAGAAAGUGAAAACAGAGUUUGCUGAAUAGCAUGAGUGAAGAAAAUAGCGGAGUGUCUAGGAGGCUUGGGAAGGAGAUAGGAAUGAGUUUUGUCGUUGCUUGGGGCCAUAGGGGGUUAUACUGAAAAAAAGAUCUAGGGUAUGUGUUUCUUCAGGAGUCCAUGGUAGGGUCCAAUCAAAGGCGGGUGUCAGGUGAACAAUAGGUGUUAUUUCAUAAGUUACUGAAGAAGGUAGGGGUAUUGAUGCCAGCAUCAUCUGAGGUUUGUUUGAAGGUAAUGUCCUGGAACAUGUUUGGGAUCUGGCUUUUCUUAGAUGUUAUUAGGUGUUUGGGGCCUAGGACAAAACUCAGAGAAAGAUGAACUUUCUUGCUCCCCCCCCCCCCUUGAAGUGGGAACAUAGCUUCUUCCGCUUAUUCACAGGCAAAAUAUGAAACAUGAGUAAAUGGGGCCUAGCGGAAAAACAGCAGAGAUGCAACCUUUCUGCCAUGGAGUGCCUUCAGCUUCCCUACUUCAGUACCACGCCUUUUCUCAGCGCUGGCAAAGCAGAAACACGUUUUGUGCAGGCAACCAGAGGAGGGGGCUGCGCCAGAAUGGGCAGGAAGGGGGCGCUUUCCCGAGCAUGUCCACUAGAUGGCUCCCCAACACCGAGUCACUGAGCUCGGGUGACCGAGUGGGCGGCCCCCCAGUGGAGAGACGCAGAGCAAGGCCAUCCCCUCUCCUCUGGCCAGCCUUCCCAGGACCCGGGGUUGACGGUCCCGACCCAGAUAUGAGCCUCGGCCGUCCUCCCGAGCUCUGCCCACCGACCCAGGUUUCAAAUCCUCCUCUGCUCUCCCCACCCUCCGAAUCCUCCAGGGGAUGAUGGACUCAGGGCGCGGAGGCUUCCCGGGGCACGCGGGAGAGUAUCUUCUCAAUUUCCUCUACGAAUUGAGCCGUGCCCAGCGCCUCCCAGUGCCUCCACAGCACUGCCUCUUGCCUCCGUUCCCUUCCUGAAUUCCCCAGGCCCUCCCUGUCACUCCCACCCUCUCAGCUUCUGCCAGUCUUCUGAGGCAGGGACCAUUAAGGCCGUUUCCACAGAUUUGGUGAUGCAAAUACAUGCAAAUAUAUGCAAAUCGCCAUGUAAAGGAGGCUUGCCACUGUGGUUCUAAGUGGCUGUCACAGCUUCUCUGACACCUGUUCUGAGAGACAGCUGCCCUGCCCCCCUCCUGCUCAGGAAUCUAUCUGAUAUUUACCCCCCUUUCUCUUCCAAAACUCUGGCUUCUGGUCCCCUUUCCUUCAGGGACCCUGGCUGGACACUUGGAGUCUUCUCUCCAAACUCUCUAGAGAGGGCAGGGAGGGAACCACAUCUUAUUGUGCACAGACUUUGGCCUCUGAAAAUUACACCAUUUCCUGGCUGUGUGGCCUUGGAAAAACAGCUGAACUUCUCUGAGCCUCAGUUUCAUCAGCAGCAGAAUGGGAAUAAUGAUAGUAUUCACCUCAUAAGGUUGUUGUAAAGAUUCCACUCAAUACUACAUGUAAAGUGCUAAGCACAGUACCUUUGAAGAACAUAGGAAGUGCAUUGGCUAUUAACAAUGUGAUUAUCAUUGACCUUGCUGGUCAUCGUAUUCUGAGGGCUUGGGCUUUAAGACAGGUAUGCAGAUGGGCAGAGUUCUGGCAUGCGCACAUGGGGACUCAUCCUUGUGCAUGCAUGUGCAUACACGCGUGCACAGCUGACAGCCUCACGCACUGGCAGGGCACAUGCUCGGGUACACACACAUUCAGAAACACACACAGGAGGAGGCUGUGGGAGGUGGAAUCUGAGUCAUCGAGACCAGAGCUGUGGGUGGUGCUUUUGUCCUGAUUUCCGGGGCUCCACGCUCCAUUUCAAACAAGAAAAUGUAUGGGGGAUGGCACAGCCAAGCCUCCAACUGAAGCUAGUUGUGUGGGCCCUUUCUUGCAUCAGCCCCCUCCCCAGCUGGUCCCAACCCAGCUCUGUGUCAUCUAGGCUUCUCUUUUCUCUGACCUUAAUGCUACUAAGUCCCCACAGGUGGGGCUGGGCAGGCACACUGGGUCCUUGACGUCAUAGCACAAGCCCUGGAUGACAUCAUAGAGCAGGUGCUGCCUGCUCCCUGGAGCAUGCCCUAGGAGCUUGGCCCCAGCAGAGGUUCCUGGCCCAUGGAUCAUCUACCACAUUCCUGGUAAUGGUCCAGUCAACUGUGGCUAUGGAGAGGGGUCCCCUACUACUGUCCCUUUGGUUGCCUUGAUGGACAUAAGGAUAGUGUGAUUCACAUGUCUUCAGAGCCCUCUGUCUGCUUGCUGUAGUGGGGAGACAGAGGAGGGUCUGAGUGUCCUUCCUGCACUAUCUUGUAAUCACCAGGAAUGAAUUCUGAGCUCACGUUCUGGACCGCUGCCAGGAAGAAGGAAGCAGCGUUAGUAUAAAGAAUCACACAAAAGGCCGCAGUAUGCCUUGGAGAUGUUGGCCAGGAGUGACCAACAAAGUGACUCCUCAAAGCUACCAAGAAGCAAGCCUGCCCCCAGACCUGGUGGUUCAGGACCAUGGAGAGCAUCCUACAUAGUGUCCUGGAGAGGAGACUUACUGCUAUCAUCCCCAUUUUACAGAAGCUGGAGAAAUCCGGGAAGUCUGGAGCACACAUCCCCUCACCAUCAGGGCAGAAGCUCAGCCUGGUCAGAGAGAAAGGAAAGUUGCUUUGAUGUCCUCUCACCUAGACUAUUCAUUCCCUUGAGAAGCAAGAGGAGUCAAGGAAGAUAGAGUCAUGUGGGAGGACAUAACGUGCUCUUCAAGUCCUGAUGCUGCAUCCCCACUGCUGUGUGAUCUCAAACAAGUCACUUAACCUCUCUGAGCCGUGGUUUCCUCAUCUGUAAAAUGGAGCUAAUAAUACCACCUCUGUUACUGAACAGAAUUUCUAAAAGUCCCAAGCAGAUGUUGUCAGUAUGCAAGGGAAGACAAAAUAUGGGGAGGGAGGGUGAGAACAGGUUGCCCUACCUGGUCACCAUGGCUGCCUGAUGGAGGAAGGAGAUUCAGAGGAUAACAGAGAUUGGAUACGGAGAUUGUGAAACCCAGGAUGGGAAGCAAAAGGGCCCAACUUAGGGAGCCUUGCUGGGAAGGGCCCCUGGAAUUCAUGGACCACGCUUGCUGAGAACCCACUGGAAGAAAUGACACAGUACUGCAGUAUGAAGGACUCAGGUCAGACUGUAGACAGACUUCCAGCCAGUCAGGCAACAACAAGGGCACUCCCUCCUGGGGUCUUUGGCUAUGCCUGAGCAAAAUCUCCCCAGUGGAGAGGCUAAGCCUGACUGCAGGAAGCAAUGCAGAAGGAUGGACAGGGCAACCCCGAAGAUGCUUCUGCAGGGCCAGAGAAGGAGGCCACAGUAGUCUGGCAGAUCCUCCCCGGGGUUCUCUUUCAAGCCUUGUCCUCUGGAGGCCUUUCAGAACCUAUCCUGACCUUGAAGGGAAGUCACUGGGCCUGUUCUGGAGCAGGGGCCAUGUCCUCACAGACAUGCCCAGGUCAGCGUCAGGCCACAACUCUAUUAUUUAAGGAUUCCAUAAAAGAGCAAACCUCCGGGCCUGGAAGAAUGGCCGGGAUCCUGACUCUUCCUGCACAGGAAAUGCAGCGGCUGUGCCGGAGCCCUGGCUUGACCUGCUGAGGACUCAGAGCCCCUACAGAUUCCCAGCCUGAAGGGGCUCCACUGUGGCUGAGAUGAUGACAUCUGGGCCAGACUGGGCUCCUCCCUUCCAGACUGAGCUGAGACCUACCACCAGACCAACUGCUUGUGGACUCUGCAGUGAUUUUAUUGUGAUUUCCUAGUUGUCGCAGUUAGUAGCAUUAGUUUGUUAAUUACUGUAUAUUUUGAAAGUAAGAGAAAAGGGAAUUCCCACCGGAGAUUUGUUCUUGGCCGAAACAAUGUGAUGUGAGGGAAGGGAGAGUUUGCGCAGGGCGGGAAGGGGGGGUAGUAAUGAGCUUGCUCUGCUGGUUUCUGCUCCUCUAGACAGGGCCUGGGGCCAGAGAUGGGGCUGCAUGGAGAGGCAGGGGCCCUGGCAGAGCCAAGCCCCUCCCUCCUCUGCAGCACCACUUCUCAGUCCCCAAACCUCUGCGGCAGCCCCCUGCCACCCCCCCCCCAACCCCUGCACUAUUAUCAGAGUGAGGCAUCAGGCCUAAGGGGUUUGGAGCUGCAGGAAGGGCCCUGAGGCUAAAGGAACCAGACCUGAGUGAAAUAAGACCCUGAGGAAACCGGCCUGUGACAGGGGGCAGUUGAUUGAAUAGGAUGGAGUUUUUCAUUAGGAAAUGAAGCUGGAAUUUGGGGAGAGGCUCUUGCAUUUAAAUUCAGCAAGAGACGGGGCGCCUGGGUGGCUCAGUCGGUUGAGCUUCCGACUUCGGCUCAGGUCACGAUCUCGCGGUCCGUGAGUUCG